This 1592-nucleotide long non-coding RNA is filed under the name Triticum aestivum (bread wheat). Its description in RNAcentral is "long non-coding RNA (TAES_LNC024185)". Lineage: Eukaryota; Viridiplantae; Streptophyta; Magnoliopsida; Poales; Poaceae. The record is from RNAcentral.
UGGAGGCAAACUACCUAGAUGGUUUCGCGGUGGCGAUGGAGGCGCUAGAUACCUGCUUUCUCGUGUGCCUUCUUGUCGCCUCUGCUCUUCCAAUGAUGCGGAUCCAGGAACAGAGUCCAACCCUCUCCCCUUCUAAUUCUUCCUUCGUGUUCUGCACUUCUUCUGCUUGCUCUUUGACAAACAUCAAAUUAUGUUUUUAUGUCUCAAUGUGUUCGGUUUCAAUUCCCAUGUGAGAAGAUCCUUCUGAGGAAGGCCAGGAAUUGGUACUGAAAUUCUGAAUAUGCAUAGGUACAAAGAACCUUGAAUCUGUCCAGGUGAGCAUGACAUUGAUUCCAGUUCUUGUGAUAUUUGUGUCUAACUUAAUUCAUCUUGGCACCGGUUCAAAAUAAAUAAAUUCAUCUUGGCAUGAUUAUUAUGUGGUUCAAGUGCUAAUCAAGUGAGCUGAGCAUUUAGUUUCUUCGUUGUGCCAUGCUAUUAGGAAUAACAUGUUAUUUUAUCCACCGGUCUCUGAUAAAUGAGAAGUUCAUUCUUUGUUUACACUUGUGACUAAAACACAUUUGGUUUCCUAUUGUAAUUUCUUUUUUCAGAUUUUGGUGUGUUAUUCUUGAAUAUAUUAUGCGCACGAAUUAUUUCUGGAAAUAUUUCCCCCUUUCUCUAGAGUCCAUAUUCACUAUUAAUUUCUGAAAGUCAAUUUUCAUGUUGUUGAGCCCACAAUGCUCCUAAAAGUAUUACAUGCACGUGGAGCGCAGGGUGAGUGCUCAUGUUAGCAAUCUUGUGUUCCUUUUUCAAGAUUUAGGAUUUAGUUUGGUUAAGAAAGCUUGUCGUUGCACUGUAUUAACAUUGCUUGAUCUAUGGUUUUUAAGCUUUUGAGCCCUAGAUCCUCUCUUUGGCAAGUAUUGCAGGCAACCGGUGAAGCCGAAGCCAUUUAUGAAUGCAAGGCAGACAAACUAUUAAGUAUGUUUUAUGAUUUUAUGAGAAGUUUAAAUUUUCAGCUGAAUAAGUUGCCCAAGAUUGCACAUCUGAACCUAAUCUUACUUUUACUUCUGCAGAUGCCAUGAAAUUGUAAAGGUAUCUUUCUAUUCCUAGAAUGAUUUGACAAGGCCCAUGUCGACGAUCUAUGCACCAUCACCUACGGCCAGGUUGUCUAAGAAAAACAGUCCAUUAGUUGUGAGAUCUCUUACUGCUAAAAUCAGUGGUCGGCGUGGCAUGAAUAAAAUCCGUAGCAUGACAUUUGGAUCUGACGUUUUUAUGUGUACCUGACACACCUUGAGGAUUAAAGCUGCACUUGAGUCAAUUCGAAUAUUGUAUAGUUGAUCUCUUUAUUGGGAGUUAGAUCCAAAAAAGCUAAGUUAUAUGUGAUAAAAUUCAACUUAUUGUCCGUCUAUAUCAUGGUUUGUAAUUUGUUACGGUGUCAGGGCACAGCUGAGACGCACCUGGCCUGUAGAGCUUAACACUUUGAACAGUUCUCUUGAAAAUAUCUCAAACAUAUAUUUGGACCCAUACAAAUUAUUCAAUUUUUCUCAAACACUGCUUGGAUUUUUCAAAAAUAGUCUUAAGUAUUUGUUGUCAAUAUGAGCGGGCGCGGCAAAGCG